This 443-nucleotide ribosomal RNA is filed under the name uncultured bacterium. RNAcentral's name for it is "partial 16S ribosomal RNA". It matches the Rfam family "Bacterial small subunit ribosomal RNA", at positions 338 to 795 of the family's 1533-position model. The record is from RNAcentral.
CCUACGGGUGGCAGCAGUGGGGGAUAUUGGACAAUGGGGGGAACCCUGAUCCAGCGACGCCGCGUGAGUGAAGAAGUAUUUCGGUAUGUAAAGCUCUAUCAGCAGGGAAGAAAGAAAUGACAGUACCUAACCAAGAAGCCGCGACUAACUACGUGCCAGCCGCCGCGGUACUACGUAGGGGGAAAGCGUUAUCCGGAAUUACUGGUUGUAAAGGGAGCGUAGGCGGUUCAGUACGUCUGGAGUGAACGGCCGGGGCCCACCCCCGGGACUGCUCUGGAAACUAUUGAACUGGAGUGCAGGAGAGGCAAGUGGAAUUCCUAGUGUAGCGGUGAAAUGCGUAGAUAUUAGGAGGAACACGAGUGGCGAAGGCGGCUGACUGGACUGUAACUGACGUGGAGGCUCGAAAGCGUGGGGAGCAAACAGGAUUAGAUACCCGAGUAGUC